AGACCCAGUCAGGACACAGCAUGGACAUGAGGGUCCCCACUCAGCUCCUGGGGCUCCUUCUGCUCUGGCUCCCAGGUGCCAGAUGUGACAUCCAGAUGACCCAGUCUCCAUCUUCCUUAUCUGCAUCUGUAGGAGACAGAGUCACCAUCACUUGUCGGGCUAGUCAGACCAUUAGCAGUUAUUUAGCUUGGUAUCAGCAGAAACCAGGGAAAGUACCUAAGCUCCUGAUCUAUGCUGCAUCCAGUUUGGAAAGUGGGAUCCCAUCUCGGUUCAGUGGCAGUGGAUCUGGGACAGAAUUCACUCUCACCAUCAGCAGCCUGCAGCCUGAAGAUUUUGCAACUUAUUACUGUCAACAGCAUAAUAGUCACCCUCCCACAGUGUUACACACCCGAACAUAAACCCCCAGGGAAGCAGAUGUGUGAGGCUGGGCUGCCCCAGCUGCUCCUCCUGAUGCCUCCAUGGGCUGAGAGUGUUCCUCAGAUGCAGCCAC
This is a non-coding RNA of Chlorocebus sabaeus (green monkey), 490 nucleotides long. The record is from the annotation of a RefSeq genome assembly. NCBI's taxonomy places the organism in Eukaryota, Metazoa, Chordata, Mammalia, Primates, Cercopithecidae.